ACCUACGGGGGGCAGCAGUGAGGAAUAUUGGUCAAUGGUCGGGAGACUGAACCAGCCAAGCCGCGUGAGGGAGGAAGGUACAGAGUAUCGUAAACCUCUUUUGUCAGGGAACAAAGGCGGGGACGUGUCCCCGGAUGGGUGUACCUGAAGAAAAAGCAUCGGCUAACUCCGUGCCAGCAGCCGCGGUAAUACGGAGGAUGCGAGCGUUAUCCGGAUUUAUUGGGUUUAAAGGGUGCGCAGGCGGUCUGUUAAGUCAGCGGUCAAAGCCCGGGGCUCAACCCCGGCCCGCCGUUGAAACUGGCAGU
This 305-nucleotide ribosomal RNA is filed under the name uncultured bacterium. RNAcentral's name for it is "bacterial SSU rRNA". It matches the Rfam family "Bacterial small subunit ribosomal RNA", at positions 337 to 640 of the family's 1533-position model. The record is from RNAcentral.